Molecule: small nuclear RNA, 107 nt
Filed under: Carlito syrichta (Philippine tarsier)
Lineage: Eukaryota; Metazoa; Chordata; Mammalia; Primates; Tarsiidae
Source: RNAcentral
GUGCUCACUUUAUCAGCACAUGUACUACAGUUAGAAUAAUACAGAGAAGAUUAGCAUGGAUUCUGAGCAGGAAUGACAUGCAGAUUUGUGAAGCAAUGAAGAGAAGA